This 431-nucleotide ribosomal RNA is filed under the name uncultured bacterium. RNAcentral's name for it is "bacterial SSU rRNA". It matches the Rfam family "Bacterial small subunit ribosomal RNA", at positions 335 to 777 of the family's 1533-position model. The record is from RNAcentral.
ACUCCUACGGGAGGCAGCAGUGGGGAAUAUUGGACAAUGGGCGAAAGCCUGAUCCAGCAAUGCCGCGUGAGUGAUGAAGGCCCUAGGGUUGUAAAGCUCUUUUACCCGGGAAGAUAAUGACUGUACCGGGAGAAUAAAGCCCCCGGCUCAACUCCGUGCCAGCAGCCGCGGUAAUACGGAGGGGCUAGCGUUGUUCGGAAUUACUGGGCGUAAAGCGCAGUAGGCGGCUUUGNAAGUCAGAUGGCUGAAAGCCUGGAGCUCAACUCCAGAACUGCCUUUGAGACUGCAUCGCUUGAAUCCAGGAGAGGUCAGUGGAAUUCCGAGUGUAGAGGUGAAAUUCGUAGAUAUUCGGAAGAACACCAGUGGCGAAGGCGGCUGACUGGACUGGUAUUGACGCUGAGGUGCGAAAAGCGUGGGGGAGCAAAACAGGA